CACGUAGGGCGCAAGCGUUGUCCGGAAUUAUUGGGCGUAAAGAGCUCGUAGGCGGUCUGUUACGUCUGCUGUGAAAACCCAGGGCUUAACCCUGGGCUUGCAGUGGAUACGGGCAGACUAGAGGCAGGUAGGGGAGAAUGGAAUUCCCGGUGUAGCGGUGAAAUGCGCAGAUAUCGGGAGGAACACCGGUGGCGAAGGCGGUUCUCUGGGCCUGACCUGACGCCGAGGAGCGAAAGCGUGGGGAGCGAACAGG
This 253-nucleotide ribosomal RNA is filed under the name uncultured bacterium. RNAcentral's name for it is "partial 16S ribosomal RNA". It matches the Rfam family "Bacterial small subunit ribosomal RNA", at positions 524 to 776 of the family's 1533-position model. The record is from RNAcentral.